This 77-nucleotide transfer RNA is filed under the name Bacillota bacterium. RNAcentral describes it as "tRNA-Pro". It matches the Rfam family "tRNA". Rfam says of the family: Transfer RNA (tRNA) molecules are approximately 80 nucleotides in length. Their secondary structure includes four short double-helical elements and three loops (D, anti-codon, and T loops). RNAcentral also lists the same sequence under 1 other name. The record is from RNAcentral. Lineage: Bacteria; Bacillati; Bacillota.
CGGGCUGUGGCGCAGUUUGGUAGCGCGCUUGAAUGGGGUUCAAGAGGCCGCAGGUUCAAAUCCUGUCAGCCCGACCA